AUUGAACGCUGGCGGCAGGCCUAACACAUGCAAGUCGAACGGUAACAGGAAGAAGCUUGCUUCUUUGCUGACGAGUGGCGGACGGGUGAGUAAUGUCUGGGAAACUGCCUGAUGGAGGGGGAUAACUACUGGAAACGGUAGCUAAUACCGCAUAACGUCGCAAGACCAAAGAGGGGGACCUUCGGGCCUCUUGCCAUCGGAUGUGCCCAGAUGGGAUUAGCUAGUAGGUGGGGUAACGGCUCACCUAGGCGACGAUCCCUAGCUGGUCUGAGAGGAUGACCACCAACACUGGAAGUGAUCCCCGGUCCAGUCCCCUAGGGGGGGCAGCAGGGGGAAAUUUUGCACAAGGGCCGCAGCCUUGAUGCAGCCGUCCGGCUUGAAGAAAGAAGGCGUUGGGGUUGUAAAUUUCUUUCAGGGGGGAGAAAGGGAAAAAAUUUAUUCCCUUCCCUCAUGGCCUUUCCCCAAAAAAGAAGCCCCGCCUACCCCCGUC
RNAcentral lists this ribosomal RNA (490 nucleotides) under uncultured bacterium. RNAcentral's name for it is "partial 16S ribosomal RNA". It matches the Rfam family "Bacterial small subunit ribosomal RNA", at positions 30 to 507 of the family's 1533-position model. The record is from RNAcentral.